This is a long non-coding RNA of Etheostoma spectabile (orangethroat darter), 198 nucleotides long. RefSeq lists it as uncharacterized. Lineage: Eukaryota; Metazoa; Chordata; Actinopteri; Perciformes; Percidae. The record is from RefSeq and is a predicted model, not a curated record. The transcript is spliced from 3 exons.
UGUCUUGUUCACAAAUUUUUAAUUUGCUACCGUGCUGAUUCGUGCCUCUGAGUCUGACUUCUCCAUGGCAACACUGGCUGAUGCUUAUGGGUAAUGUAGUAUUAGACCCUUUCACCAUGCCAUGAGAGACAAGACCAGAUUACUCAGAAACAAAGGGAACAAAAAACAAUGGAGAGUCUCAUGUUUUUAAGUUUGAGU